GUGCUCCGGAGGCUUCGCCUUGCUUUCGCUGAAGCCUGGAGAGCGAGAGGGGUUGGUGCGCACCAGCCCCUCUCGCUCUCCAGGCUUCAGGGAUAGUCACCUGAAGCCUUCGGAGCGC
Molecule: non-coding RNA, 118 nt
Organism: Podarcis lilfordi (Lilford's wall lizard)
Lineage: Eukaryota; Metazoa; Chordata; Lepidosauria; Squamata; Lacertidae
Source: the annotation of a GenBank genome assembly